Long non-coding RNA from Amphiprion ocellaris (clown anemonefish), 3138 nucleotides. The record is from Ensembl. NCBI's taxonomy places the organism in Eukaryota, Metazoa, Chordata, Actinopteri, Pomacentridae.
GAAAGAUCCCAGGAAAGCUGGGACCUUCUAGCUGCGAGGUGAAAGUGCUCACUGCCGAGCCACUGCGCAGCCCCAGGAACAAGUCAAAUGGGUUGAAACAGAAUUACAAUGUUCACAGAGUGCUCCAGGAAGUAGAUUACCUGAGGCCAGGUGGACAGCAUUGCCUGCAAUUAGACUCACAAGCAGCAGCAGAGCAGAGAGCUCUUGCAUGGCUCAAGUAAAUACAAAUAACUUAUUUUAAGGUGUGUUAUUGACAGCUAGGUAGAAGCUAUCAAUCAUGCUAGGCAGUUUUGCUCUCUACAUAAGACUCUUUGUCUUUGUGCUGAUGUGUGCAGCUGUCAUGUUGUUUAUCAUGUGUUUGGAUGCUGCAAGAGCCAGUCCCAUAGUAACUAAAGAACACAAUGGAGUGAAGCACAAUGUCCCGAGACGACUGUAUGCCACACGCAAACAACAUCAGCCCCCUUCCUUUGGUCUGCUGUCAACAGAAACUGGGAUGAACAGAGAAACUGGGACAAGCGAGAAUGAUAGAGAAGCCCUGUCAAUUAUUGACCAUCAAUCAAACUCUUUGCGGUUUACACAAGGUAGCUUUGAUUACCAUCAAAACAACCCAGAUAACAGCCAGUCUGGAGCAAGAAUAACCAAAGUGCAGAGAGGUCACAGGACAGGUGGAGUGAUGCCAGCCAGCAGCAUUUUCACUCGUCACGUUCGCCACGGAGGCUUUGACACACGGCAUUCCACAGAGGAUGACUACACGUUCUCUCAGAGAGUAGCUAAAGAUUGGUGGAUACAGGAGUGCUCUACCACCAAGAGUGCAUUACAGUGGCUAUAAAAAGACAAAUGGGCUUCUUGCAGUCGGGCCACAGAGCACAUCAAGUGGGAUUCAAUCAAGCAAAUUUCUCAGCUUCGCAAGUCGCACAGCCCCGCAUGAAACAUCAAUCAUCAGAAGCUCGGACGCCUCUGUUAUUAAAAGAAACCCAAGCCUGGGAAAAAUGACACCAUCCAUUGCAGAUUCCUCCCAGGGGCUGGAUUCGGUGAGCAGCAGUGAGACACUAAGACACAAACAGGUCCAGUCAUAUCUCCUCAAGGACUCCCAUAACUCAGGGACAGGAGAUGGACAAGAAGUUUCAAGUGGACUGAGCAACGCCACCACAAUGCCAUAUAGGCUAAGGCCUUCUGGGUCACACAUUUACAGCAGAUUUAGCUCAAAUUUUAAAGAGCCACACAGAAAAGACCGAACCAAGCAAGAUAAUGUCAAUCUAUUGUAUCCUAACAUCGAUGUGGCUCAGUAUGGCAGUCAGACACGAAGAUUUACCAAUUAUCAACCAGUCUCUAGCAUCUAUACCCCCAAACAUAUCAGAGCACAACCUCCCACUCAAGUCUUCACACAUCCUGCUUCUUUAAAGGGUCCGUUUAUGCAAAGCUUUGUCUCACCACUUAAUGCACAUUCCUGGGAUGCCACCAGCAGUAAGAAAUCUGCUCCAGGAGGAACGAAUGCAACUGCAAGAGAGUCUAUGUACAAACCAGGAUGGUCCACAAAAAGCAUUUAUGGCUUCAGGAGGUUUGAAAAUCCACUAAGCCAUUCUGUCAAAGGAAAAAUCGCCUCUCAACAAUACAAUUUUGAUAAAGGGCAGAGCUAUGGGUUUAAAAUUGCAAAUAAAUUCCCCUCUUUGUCAAGAAAGUACAGCUUUGGCCAGAGAGGAGCAACUACUACAACAUCAGUAAAACCUAAACAAAUACCCACAGAUUAUUCUUCACCUUCUCCUGGUAUCUUAGAUGGAGUUCAAAUGACAACAGUUCCUACAACCACGCCGUUCACAUCAGGCUUUCAGGACAUUAAGCAUCUUCUGCCUCAAAGUGAUGCCAGUGUGGACAGAAACCCCAACCACAGACAACUUACAAUCUACAAAAGAAAGUAUGGUCUGAAAGGAUUUGGCAGUCGACCACUGGAGGGAGCCAAAACUUUAGUUGGGGAAAUAGACGAGUCUGCCACUCUCCAUCAAGGUUUUGAAAGUUUUAAACUACGGAGAUCACAGACCUGGAAACCAAAAAUCAUCAGGGGGUACAAUCGAACAGGUAAACCAGAGACAGAUACAAAAAAUCCAUCCACAGUAAGGCAAAAUGAGCAAAGCAGUAAAGAUGUUAAAACCCUUCUAAAGACUGCAGGAAGCACUGAACCUGUCACCAGAUUUACACCUGACAGGAAAACUCACAUUUUUCUCGGACUCCAGUCUGUUAAAAGCAGAACUGAGCAGGCUCACAGCAAAACACACUGGAAAUACACGGAGCAAAAUCUUCCUUUUAUCUCUUCGGCUCAUCUCAGAUCUGUAGGAGGCCUCAAACUUGCACCCAGUCCAACAUCAGAGCCAAGAACGCUCAACAAAAACAAGCUUGUUGCAAUGAACGCGAUCCUGCACAACUCCUCCACCAGCAGCACUGUAAGAGGCAGACUCGUGAGGGUAACACCCAAGAACAGCAAAGAGCUGGAUCAGUCUAAUUUCACUAACAACACCAGACAUGUAGUCAUAGUCAGGCUGCCCAAGCGCCCUGCCGGUGUUAAAGCCAUCACAUAUGCUGAUAUUCUUGGAAGUGCUUCGUUCAGUGGUGUCAGGGCUACAAACCAGACACCAACAACACCACCUGAUGAUGAUCAUUUCCCAAACAUGACAGCUACAACCAGGCAACAAGUAACGGUGAGUCCCAGGACUUUAAACUCUCCCGAUGGUGUCCGCAGUGGGAAAAACAGGAGCAAAAACCUUGAAGCUGAAGAUGAGAAAGAAGAUUUCAGUAGUGUCGGUCAAAAAGACAACAAUACAAUGAAAUCAGCUGAUGUUUUACUAGAUAAAGAAGGAAGUGGAAGUGGAGAUUUUAAUGUGUCUGAUGUAGGAAGUCUGGCACUUGGUGAAGAUUUGUCAGAGCUAGAUUACCUACGGACAUCUACUGGGAACAUCUCCUUCAAGUCAAUGAAACUGUCUCGUCCAGAUAAGCAAUAGAAAUGUGAUGAAGUGUUCUACAGCUGGAACAAUAACAAUAAAGUAACUCGUGAUUUUGAUCUUGUGCAGACAAUUAAAAAAUAUUUUUGUCAGAAAAGCCUGUUUGUUGCUUUGGAACAUUAUCCAAAUCUGUCUCAUAGCAUUUUUG